RNAcentral lists this long non-coding RNA (1502 nucleotides) under Musa acuminata (dwarf banana). Its description in RNAcentral is "long non-coding RNA (MACU_LNC001557)". Lineage: Eukaryota; Viridiplantae; Streptophyta; Magnoliopsida; Zingiberales; Musaceae. The record is from RNAcentral.
CACACGUGUGUGUAUAUAUAUACACACUCGUUUGGUGGGAAAACCUACAAAGAGUAGUAGUUAAAUGGGAAUAACGAAAACAGAAGGGCUCUUUUAGAAAAUUGUCCCCACGAGUUAUAUGGAUUCCAGUUAAGCUAUAAGUUCCGAUGGAGUAAGUCAUCGCGUCGCCCCAUCGGCAAGCGCAUAUAAGGACUCGCUCUCCGGUCGACGUAUAAGAGGCCUCGAGCGGAGUCGUCGGAAAGGGAAGGGUUCUAGGGUGGUUUCCUUGUCUCGUCGUUGCUCUUCACCGCAUUUAGAACAAGAAAUAUGGUGUGAUGAUGACUCCUCCUCUGUUAUUUCUUAUGUCGUAGUAAUAGUGUUCUUUGUUUCUUGGAAUCUCCUUUGGUGUUCAGUCUUGUUGUCGUUUCUGAUGUAAAUAAUCUUGGUUUUCGUCGGAAUCUUUUGGUACUAAUUAUUGGAUUUUUGUGGAAACCAAUUCGUGUUUCCUUCUUUUACUCGAAGUUUGUUUAUUAGGGUUGUUGAUUCUUCGUUACUUGGAAUCACUAUUUAUUUGGGUUCUUGAUGGUCCUUAUCGGAAAUUUGUGGGUACUAAAUCGUGUUUUCUUCUGUCGAUAUAUGUUCAGUAAGGUUCUUGCUGGAUUAUUUUGGGUAUUAGUUCAUGUUUUCGCCUUUUUCCUGACAUUUGGUAGGGUUCUUGAUGGUUCCCUUUGGGUACUGAUACUUUUUAAAAUUUUUGUCUAUUAGGGUUCUUCUUGAUGGAUUUUUGUGGGUAUUAUUAGUUUAUGUUUUCUUCUUUUACUCGAUAUUUGUUGGGGUUCUUAAUGCUUCUUUUUCGGUACUAAUUCUUCUUGUGAUCUCUAUUUUCUUGAUGGAUUUUCGUGGGUAUUAGUUCAUGUUUUCUUCUAAUGCUCGACAUUUGUUAUGUUCUUGAUGGAUUCUUGUGGGCCCGAGUUUAUGUUUCCGUUUCGUACUCAAACAUCUAUUAGGGUUCUUGAUGGUUGUUUUCAGGAACUGAUAGUUUGUUUGGAUUCUUCUUAUAGUCUCUGUUUGUUUGGAUUUUUCUUGAUGGANNNNNNNNNNNNNNNNNNNNUUCUCGUGGGUAUUAGUUCAUGAUUUCUUCUUUUACUCGACAUUUAGGGUACUGAUUUUUCUUGUAGUCUCUGUUUGUUGGGGUUUCUUUAUGGAUUCUCGUGGGUAUUAGUUCAUGAUUUCUUUUUUUACUCGACAUUGAGGGUACUGAUUCUUCUUGUAGUCUCUGUUUUUUGGGGUUUUUCUUGAUGGAUUCUCGUGGGAAUUAGUUCAUGAUUUCUUCUUUUACGCCACAUUUAGGAUACUGAUUCUUCUUGUAGUCCCUGUUUGUUGGGAUUCUUCUUGAUGGAUUCUCGUGGGUAUUAGUUCAUGUUUUCUUCUUUUACUCGACAUUUAUUUGAGUUCUCGAUGAUUCUUUCUGAGUACUGAUUCUUUUUGUAACCAUAUUGGAUCUAAUCCAACAGACAGCCAAC